GUUGAUUUUUUUAAUAAAGAGCUUUGUCUUUCGAGAGAAGAGUAUUCUCUCCUUCUUGUUUUCGGCAGAUCCAUCGAGAUCUCAAAGAGUUCAAGAAGCACGUCCCAAGCGAGGAUACCUUAGAGUCCCUUGGUUGAGCUGGCAGGUCCUAAUCGAUUCCUUGAAUCUAUUGGUUGAGCUUUUUAUUGUUGCUUCCACUCCAUCAUUUAGUAUCAGAGCCGCUUGUUCUCUGAUAGCUUCAUCAGAGACUGACCGAUUCUGGUUGUUAUGGUGAGUCAAAGCAUCUAUCCUAUCCAAAACGAAAGUCCUUUUCUUGAAAGAAAAGAAAACCAUGAUGUCUAUAGAGAGAUCUAUGGUGAUCCCAUCUUCGAUAUAUAUCAUUAAGAUGUCAUGAUUUAAACUUCGUGUUCUGAGAAGGUGAUUUCAAGAAUCUAACAGAUGCAGAAUACGUUCAUGCAACAUCACCUUCAUGUAAAAUCCGAGCAAGGACAGAUCAGUGGAGAGUUCAAGAUUUGUGCAGAAAUCGUGCAAAAUCCGGGCUAUCGCAGAUCUGCGAAAAAUUACAAGUCGGUGCACAUCUGGUUUGUGCAAAGUCCGUACGAAAUCCGGUCUGUGCAAAAUCCGUACAAAAUUCGGUUUGCACAAAAACAAAACAUUCUCAACACAAAACCGAUGUGGAUAAACCGGUUGAAGAUUCGAGGACGAAUCUUUCUUGGCCGACGAGACCUGAUGCAGCGUAUAAUUAAUAGUUAGGGUUUUAGGGUUUUUAGAUUUUAUUAUAAAUAGCCUCUUACACUUAUUGUUUCAUUCAGUUAUUGAUUUUUUAAUAAAGAACUUUGGCUUUUGGGAGAAUUGUAUUCUCUAUCCCUUGUUUCGGCAGAUCCAUCGAGAUCUCAACGAGUUCAAGAAUUAGGUCCCGAGCGAUGAUUCCUUAGAGUCCCUUGGUUGAGCUGG
RNAcentral lists this long non-coding RNA (954 nucleotides) under Eutrema salsugineum. RNAcentral's name for it is "long non-coding RNA (ESAL_LNC001026)". The record is from RNAcentral. Lineage: Eukaryota; Viridiplantae; Streptophyta; Magnoliopsida; Brassicales; Brassicaceae.